UGUGUAGAGGUGAGAAAAUUACUGUGCUAUAUAUAUCUUGGUAAAUUUCUUGCCUUUCACAAU
This 63-nucleotide microRNA precursor is filed under the name Sarcophilus harrisii (Tasmanian devil). Its description in RNAcentral is "Sha-Mir-7398-o7_pre stem-loop". It matches the Rfam family "mir-7398 microRNA precursor family". The record is from Rfam by way of RNAcentral. Lineage: Eukaryota; Metazoa; Chordata; Mammalia; Dasyuromorphia; Dasyuridae.